GAUGAACGCUGGCGGCGUGCCUAAUACAUGCAAGUCGAGCGAACGGACGAGAAGCUUGCUUCUCUGAUGUUAGCGGCGGACGGGUGAGUAACACGUGGAUAACCUACCUAUAAGACUGGGAUAACUUCGGGAAACCGGAGCUAAUACCGGAUAAUAUUUUGAACCGCAUGGUUCAAAAGUGAAAGACGGUCUUGCUGUCACUUAUAGAUGGAUCCGCGCUGCAUUAGCUAGUUGGUAAGGUAACGGCUUACCAAGGCAACGAUGCAUAGCCGACCUGAGAGGGUGAUCGGCCACACUGGAACUGAGACACGGUCCAGACUCCUACGGGAGGCAGCAGUAGGGAAUCUUCCGCAAUGGGCGAAAGCCUGACGGAGCAACGCCGCGUGAGUGAUGAAGGUCUUCGGAUCGUAAAACUCUGUUAUUAGGGAAGAACAUAUGUGUAAGUAACUGUGCACAUCUUGACGGUACCUAAUCAGAAAGCCACGGCUAACUACGUGCCAGCAGCCGCGGUAAUACGUAGGUGGCAAGCGUUAUCCGGAAUUAUUGGGCGUAAAGCGCGCGUAGGCGGUUUUUUAAGUCUGAUGUGAAAGCCCACGGCUCAACCGUGGAGGGUCAUUGGAAACUGGAAAACUUGAGUGCAGAAGAGGAAAGUGGAAUUCCAUGUGUAGCGGUGAAAUGCGCAGAGAUAUGGAGGAACACCAGUAGCGAAGGCGACUUUCUGGUCUGUAACUGACGCUGAUGUGCGAAAGCGUGGGGAUCAAACAGGAUUAGAUACCCUGGUAGUCCACGCCGUAAACGAUGAGUGCUAAGUGUUAGGGGGUUUCCGCCCCUUAGUGCUGCAGCUAACGCAUUAAGCACUCCGCCUGGGGAGUACGACCGCAAGGUUGAAACUCAAAGGAAUUGACGGGGACCCGCACAAGCGGUGGAGCAUGUGGUUUAAUUCGAAGCAACGCGAAGAACCUUACCAAAUCUUGACAUCCUUUGACAACUCUAGAGAUAGAGCUUUCCCCUUCGGGGGACAAAGUGACAGGUGGUGCAUGGUUGUCGUCAGCUCGUGUCGUGAGAUGUUGGGUUAAGUCCCGCAACGAGCGCAACCCUUAAGCUUAGUUGCCAUCAUUAAGUUGGGCACUCUAAGUUGACUGCCGGUGACAAACCGGAGGAAGGUGGGGAUGACGUCAAAUCAUCAUGCCCCUUAUGAUUUGGGCUACACACGUGCUACAAUGGACAAUACAAAGGGCAGCGAAACCGCGAGGUCAAGCAAAUCCCAUAAAGUUGUUCUCAGUUCGGAUUGUAGUCUGCAACUCGACUACAUGAAGCUGGAAUCGCUAGUAAUCGUAGAUCAGCAUGCUACGGUGAAUACGUUCCCGGGUCU
Molecule: ribosomal RNA, 1372 nt
Filed under: uncultured bacterium
Lineage: Bacteria
Description: bacterial SSU rRNA
Rfam family: Bacterial small subunit ribosomal RNA
Source: RNAcentral